Molecule: ribosomal RNA, 789 nt
Filed under: Brachybacterium sp. 4-3
Lineage: Bacteria; Bacillati; Actinomycetota; Actinomycetes; Micrococcales; Dermabacteraceae
Also listed under: 1 other name
Description: bacterial SSU rRNA
Rfam family: Bacterial small subunit ribosomal RNA
Source: RNAcentral
UGCAGUCGACGAUGAUGGUGGUGCUUGCAUCACCUGAUUAGUGGCGAACGGGUGAGUAACACGUGAGUAACCUGCCCCUCACUUCGGGAUAACCUCGGGAAAUCGUGGCUAAUACCGGAUAUGAACUUCUACCGCAUGGUGGUCGUUGGAAAGAUUUAUCGGUGAGGGAUGGACUCGCGGCCUAUCAGUUUGUUGGUGAGGUAAUGGCUCACCAAGACGAUGACGGGUAGCCGGCCUGAGAGGGCGACCGGCCACACUGGGACUGAGACACGGCCCAGACUCCUACGGGAGGCAGCAGUGGGGAAUAUUGCACAAUGGGCGAAAGCCUGAUGCAGCGACGCCGCGUGGGGGAUGACGGCCUUCGGGUUGUAAACCUCUUUCAGUAGGGAAGAAGCGAAAGUGACGGUACCUGCAGAAGAAGCGCCGGCUAACUACGUGCCAGCAGCCGCGGUAAUACGUAGGGCGCAAGCGUUGUCCGGAAUUAUUGGGCGUAAAGAGCUCGUAGGUGGCUUGUCGCGUCUGCCGUGAAAACCCGAGGCUCAACCUCGGGCGUGCGGUGGGUACGGGCAGGCUAGAGUGUGGUAGGGGAGACUGGAACUCCUGGUGUAGCGGUGAAAUGCGCAGAUAUCAGGAAGAACACCGAUGGCGAAGGCAGGUCUCUGGGCCAUUACUGACACUGAGGAGCGAAAGCAUGGGUAGCGAACAGGAUUAGAUACCCUGGUAGUCCAUGCCGUAAACGUUGGGCACUAGAUGUGGGGGACAUUCCACGUUUUCCGCGUCGUAGCUAAC